Molecule: long non-coding RNA, 1051 nt
Organism: Brachypodium distachyon (stiff brome)
Lineage: Eukaryota; Viridiplantae; Streptophyta; Magnoliopsida; Poales; Poaceae
Exons: 2
Source: RefSeq, a predicted model, not a curated record
UAGAAACCUGCGGGAACUCACGCGUUUCGCCCAUAUUUCCGCCUUCAUCACCGUCCUUCUCCUCCUCCUCCUCUCUCUCUCACGCACCCUCUCUCCCUCCGGCUCACUCUCCACUACUGCUCCCGAUCUCUCCUCUACGCGCGACCGCUCCGCCGCUCGAUCCGGCAGUCAGGUACGUCGUCGUGAUUACCAAUACUACUCACAGAGGCGGCGCCGGCGGCAGUAAAAAACUUGUAGGGUCCGUUAAUUCGGGAGCACCACUGAAAUCCCCAAAUCUGGCUCCCCAAUCCCAAAUCUGCACUCCAUCAACAAUUUAUGUGUUGGGCAGCACAAAUCCAGAGUUCGCAAGGGGUGUUCCCUGGCCUUCCCGUUGCUAGCCGCGUGCGCAUGCCACGAACUCGUCCAGGUUCCAAAUCCUAAAGCCCUGCCUGUAGACCGCCCGCUACCCACCACGAUUUCACUAACGCUUCGCUUAUUUCGGGAUGGAUGGAGUACUAAUAUUUCUCUUACUCCCUCCGGCCGCAAUUACUCGUCAACGUAUUACAUGUAUCUAGACGUUUUUUACACAUAGAUACAUCCGUAUUUGGGCAAAUUUGAGACAAGUAAUACCGAUCGGAGGAACUAAUAUAUUAGUGGAUUAACUCUUCUAAUCUGAGCCUUUCAGUUUGCUUUGAAGUUCGUGCAGAAAAUAUUUUGGAAAAGUUUGUGCAUGGAAAAGUUCGUUUGCUACCCAUGCACAAUGCAGAGGCAUAGAGCACAUGGACAGUGAGAAGAUCAAUAUACCAAAAGGAUUGUGCUUCAAGAGUCGCCUUGACCCACCCUGCAAUCCAGACAAAGAAAAUUGUUUCUGUUGUUUUGACGAUUUUAAAUGCUAUAAGACGAUGGACGAUUGCAAAUCUCACUGCGCAUGAUUUCACAUCUUUUUGGGCGAUCGACAUCCCCAAUUCUGUCCUCUGCCAUUAGAUGAAUGUAAUAACGUCAAUUGAUGUGCUAUUAAUAUGCAAUUAUGAAUAAGAUCAGACGACGGGUGCUUAUCUUUUCUCUGUUUCAA